UACGGGGGGGGCAAGCGUUGUUCGGAAUUACUGGGCGUAAAGGGUUCGUAGGUGGCCAACUAAGUCAGACGUGAAAUCCCUCAGCUUAACUGGGGAACUGCGUCUGAGACUGGAUGGCUUGAGUGCAGGAGAGGAACGCGGAAUUCCAGGUGUAGCGGUGAAAUGCGUAGAUAUCUGGAGGAACACCGGUGGCGAAGGCGGCAUCCUGGACCAAUUCUGACGCUGAGGAGCGAAAGCCAGGGGAGCAAACGGG
Molecule: ribosomal RNA, 253 nt
Filed under: uncultured bacterium
Lineage: Bacteria
Description: partial 16S ribosomal RNA
Rfam family: Bacterial small subunit ribosomal RNA
Source: RNAcentral